GACAUGGAUUUGCGUCUCCUUUUGAUGCCUUCCUGGUGGUUUACGUAAGAGGCGGUGUGUUGGGGCCAGGAAGGGACGGAACCAUGGGGCUGGGUUUGCACCAGCUAUGCGAAGCCCCUCCGCUCUGCCCCCGCCUGCGAGGGGCUUUCUUGGCUGGGUCUGUUCCUGACAGAAGGGAUGCGUGUUGUCGGGGGUGGGGGGGCUUGGCAUGUGUGUGUGUGUGAGUGUGUGUGUGUGUGUGUGUGUGUGUGUGUGUGUGUUUAAAAUACAGAAAAAAGAGGCAUGGCUUUCCUCAGCUGUAGAGGCGGGCCGGGUUCUGUCGGUGCCAACUCCCUCAGAGCGGGCACUGUGGGGACACAGGAGGCGCACGAAGGCUGCAGAGGUGAGGGCCGGGUGUGGAGAAAGAUGGACGCUUGCCAUCUCGAGCGCCGGCGGCUGCGUGAGGCCAGACCCCAUGAACAAAACCCGCAGCAGAUCGCUGGCAGCCCAUGUUAGGAGGCAGAAGACAGUUGGCAACGCUGCCGUGGAGGACAGCCUGGGAACGGACGGAUGUAGCCAAAGCCAGCGCGGAACAGGAACAAAAUUGUGACCAACUGAAUGGAAGAUGCUGCGAACCUCCCUCAGCUUUCUGCCUGGAGAAGGUUCUCCGGCUCCUGCUGAGUUGCUGUAGAGGCCAAGACGGCACUGUGGCCUCAGUAGACUCGGGAAACAGGGGCUGGUGUUCAAGGGUACUGAGGUGCACACAAUUAACGGAGUGUAGAGAGAAAGAAGCUAUACCAAGGAGAGGCCAGAGCAGUACACAGGAGUGCCCUGUAACCACAUGAGACAUGGGCCCUGUGAGAACUGUCACCAGAAGUCGAUGUGGCACUCCUGACGGUGUUCAGCUCUCACGGAUGGAGUGCAAAUGUUGGCUGAAGGCUUUGGAAAGGCAAGUCUUGAGAACAGUGUGGUGAUGGUCCUCACACAAAGUGUACCUUGUAACCCCUCUUUGUGAACAGUUUUGCCAGCUAAGGCUUCAUGGCUGAAACAAACAUCAUCUUAGUCAUAGAAAAGACCUCAGAGGACGGACCCAGAGGUGACCCAGGUGCGGGAAUCAGAAGGGAAAGGUUUGAAAGAACAGGUGAGCAGCAGUUUGGACCACAGGAAAGAAAGGUGAGAGAACCUAAAGAUGGAUCUAUUUAAAGAAUCCCAAUUUAAGCACAGAUGUAAAGACUCAAUAUGGCUCUAGACAUGUUUCAGCCUUUGUUAUGAAGCCCUGGAUCCGGUCCCCAGAACUAUAUAGGUCAGGCAUGCUGGUAGCUCACGCCUAUAUAAGAACUCAGGAUGUGGCUCCAGGAGGAUCAGCGGUUCAAGGUCAUCCUCGACUACAGGUUGAGUUUGAGGAGGCCAUCCUGGGAUAUGGAGACCCUGUCUUAAAAACAGAACAACAAAGAUGCUACCACCUGUGGCAGAAUGUGAAGCCAGCCACCUGUCUGUGCCUGGGAUGUGGAAGGAGAAAACAGAGACUCAGAGAAGACAAAAAUGUUUACUCUACCAAUCAAUGAAGGCAUAAAAACUAGAAAGCAUCAUCAUAACAUAAACACCACAGGCAAACUACGGAAACCAAAGCUAAAGAAACCACCCCAGGAGCAGGUAGAGACAGACAGAUACAACACAGACACAGACACACAGACACAUAGAGGAGGACCUGGUAAGGAAUACUGGCGACUUCCAAUCAGAAUCAAUGCAAGACUGAAGACAGCAGGAGAGCCUUUAAAACAUCAAAUGUAUAAACAAAGAAAAUUGAAACACCCUUCAAGGAUUAGACAGGAACAAAGCAAUUUUUUUUUGGGUGAACAAAAUCUGAGACAGUCCACCACAGCAGACGACACGGUGGAGAACGUGAAUGAAGAAUCACGUUCAUGGGAACGGUGGAGAAUCCUUCAAGAGAGAAGAUGGCCUGGAGAGCCUCAGACCUCCUGAGAGAGGAAGCUGUGGGAAGUUGCAACGUGGUAACGCAAAGCCCUCUUUCCAUUUCCAACCUUCUUUAGAGGACAAUGAGAGAGACACAAUAGUGUCUGGUGAGAAGAGUCAUGGCAUCUGCGGAAGGGACAUGUGUGCUUUCAACCCAAGGCAGGAGGGUAAAGAGACACUACAGCAGCAUUUCCUUUCGGAGCAUGAGAUCAUAUCUAUAGAUGUGGCGUGAGUCCAGAAUAAAGAUAUCUUUGUCCUUGGAGCAGCUGCCAAAAAUAAGAAGCUAGGAGGUAUACCUCCUGAACGAAAUCAAACGUUACAGAGUAAUCAAACAAUUCAAGUAGGCAAGGAGGAAAAUAUGAAACGAAACCCAAGUUUGUAUAUAAAACAAAUACCAAGAGUUUAAGCUCCUCCAUGUUGAUGAUUAAAUUAAAUAUAAAUGGGUUAAUAUCUGAUUUAAAAGGCAGAAGUCGAAGGGCCAGCAUGUGAGGUUCAACCUUCCUACCAUGUUAGAAGCCCUGGGUUGGGGUUGGGGAUUUAGCUCAGUGGUAGAGCGCUUGCCUAGGAAGCGCAAGGCCCUGGGUUCGGUCCCCAGCUCCGAAAAAAAGAACCAAAAAAAAAAAAAAAAAAAGAAGCCUUGGGUUGGUUGAAUCCCCAAUACCACAAGGAAGGAAAGGAAGCAAAAGGAGGGCCAGUCAGAUGCCUCAGUGGGAAAAGGUGCUUGCCACUAAGCCUGACAACCUGAGUUUGAUUCCCCAAACUCACAUGGUGGAGGAGAUAGCUGACCCCUGAAAGCUGUCCUCUGACCUCCAUGCACAUAUGCACACACACACACACACACACACACACACACACACACACACACACGCCACUUUUCAAAGACUGAAAGGAAAUCAGAGGUGGUUUCGCUAAGAGUAGACAGAGGAGACUGCGGACGAGAAGUCCCAUUAGAGUUGAAGAGGAACACAACAGUUAUGAACUCAGAGGAAGAACCAUGGGGCCUGCUCUUAAGAAAAAGUUUAAAACCCAUGGCACAAAUCUAAAGGGAAACGGACAAACUCAUAGUCACCAUUGGCGGUCCCAACAUCCCUGUCAAAUAUAAAACCAGAAAGUCAAGAGGGGGGAGACUAGGGAGAAGACAGGAGCUUCACCCACCAUGACCUCGUUGAUAAUGGUAGCCCCUUCAUUCAGCAGCAACAGAAUACAUGAGACUUCCCCACAAAGGCAAACAGAAGAAAGACGUGGCGAUAUUCUGACACUGAAGGGGGUUGGGUGAUUUUGGCUCAGUCAGAGAUUUGGAGAUCCCAUUUGAGGCUUCCACAGUUAACACAGCUCCAUCCACCAAAGCUCUCGUGUCUCCUACCAAAACACGAAACAGAACCGUGAAAUCUGAACAUUCAGCUAAUACACCCCUCUUCUUUCCCGUGUUGCUCUAGGUGCCAGGAACCCGGAACGAGACCUCGGAUUUGACAGAGUACGGUAAUCUAUGGCGUAGACAAUCUGCCGUUUCUACCAUGGAUAUUUUGUUUUGUGACAUCUCUCAAGCUUGCAUUGGAAGCAGACGUGUACACAUUAUCAAUAAAGUCUCCAGGUUUGGUGUACAGGGGGCCUUGA
Molecule: non-coding RNA, 3567 nt
Organism: Rattus norvegicus (Norway rat)
Lineage: Eukaryota; Metazoa; Chordata; Mammalia; Rodentia; Muridae
Source: RefSeq, a predicted model, not a curated record